Topomyia yanbarensis is the source of this 2027-nucleotide RNA transcript. It is a transcript of the gene named josephin-like protein, with no coding region annotated. Lineage: Eukaryota; Metazoa; Arthropoda; Insecta; Diptera; Culicidae. The record is from RefSeq and is a predicted model, not a curated record. The transcript has 9 exons.
UAAUUUUGCUCGAUAGGUAUAGACUUUUUUCUGCUUCACUUUUUGCACACUCUUUGCGUUCCUUUAUACUAGGGCCUUUAAGUUCAACUAGCGAAUCAAAUUCGUUAGUUGGACAAGGCUGUGGACCAACCAGCGAAUCAUGACUGUAUAGCGAAUUUUAUCAGUACAAGGAAUGAAGGAAAGGAGUCACAAAAAUUUUAACCGAAGUGUUUAUUUACACAUAAUUGUUAUGAAAGUUAUCGGAUACAGAUACGGAUUACUGAACUAGUAAUCGUGCAGAAAUGGGUGCAUCAACUGUAUACCACGAAAAGCAAAUUAAAGAGUUGUGUGCCCUCCACGCAUUGAAUAAUUUAUUCCAAGAUAGGGAUUGUUACAAUAAGGUCCAGCUUGAUGAAAUAUGUCGUAAUUUGGCUCCCAACGACUAUAUAAAUCCUCACAGAUCAAUUCUCGGUCUCGGAAAUUACGAUAUAAACGUCAUUAUUACGGCACUACAACUGAAAAAUUGCGAAGCUAUUUGGUUCGAUAAACGAAAAGACCCUUCUUGCAUCGACACAUCUAACAUAGUUGGUUUUAUAUUAAACGUACCAUCAAAUUAUAAGGUAGGCUUUGUUCGACUACCACUCCAGAGAAGACACUGGAUUACCGUGAAGAGUAUUAAUGGUGAAUACUGGAACUUGGAUUCCAAGCUCGACACUCCACAACUUAUCGGAAAUGAAUCCAAAAACAUCAGCUAUCUCCAGUUUCCCGAGAGUUCGCCGACCAGUUGCUUUCAAACUGAAGAAAAAACUACAGUUUAACUUCACCAGGCACAAUCAUCAGAAUGGGAUGCAGGAAAAUAUUAACCCAGAAUGGUUUAAUUUUACCGUCCAGUAACAUUUUUCAAAUGAUAAUCGUUUAUGCCCAAAAGGUAUUUGUGAGGAUCUACGAAUUCGGUUUUUGUGGAAUAAUUCGACCAAGGGCUAUGAUGUAGCAGCGGUGGAGAGUAAGUCCAAUCAUACGGCUUCAUCCCACCCUGGCAGCAGAUGAGCGCUGGCGAAUGUUCUCAGCCACCUGGAGGAGGAGGUUUAGCGCGGAAGAAAUAGGUCUGUUCCAGUACCAGGAGAAACUGGAAGUACUCCGGAGAAAAUCGUUCCUGUACUCUCUUCUUCUCUUUUUUCUUCUUCUGGUAGCAAACCGGAGUAAAAAGGAUCAAGGAUUUUUUGUUCCUAUUUACUCCGGAGUGACUUCCGUGUACUGGAACAAAACUAAUGUUACCAGACUUCGCCGAUCUAGUGUCUGGACUUUUUUGAUAAUCUCAUAGAGAUUGGGUGUGCAGAUGGAUGGUUGGAGUUCUGGGAGGGAACGACUGGUAACUUUAAGGGUAUAUAUGAAGCCGAAAACACCCACAACAAUGGGGUAAUUAACAUAAAGCUCGCCGGUGACAAAGUGAUAGUCGCACGGUUGAGUGGACGAAUCGAUUUUCUGAGACUGGAAACGUACACGUAAGGUUGUCCGAUCGAUUGGGGAUUUACGUCUGCAUAUGGGCGAACCCACGUACGCACCGGUUCGGCAGGAAGCAUUGGUUUAUUUCAGCAAUCCGCCGGCUCAAAUCCGUCCACAACGUUGCCAGCUCAACAUCACGCAUCCGAGGAGGAGCUUCGAUGUAUCCUGGGGUUUCACCAGCACCCCUUCACCGCGGCAUCCAAAUAAAAAUAAGUCAUACUCCUAAUGAACUAAUAUUUAUUAAAACAUUUACUAAAUAAAAACAUAGACCUGAUAGUUCGUUUGCAAAAAAAAAACACAGAAGCACAGUAAGUUGGUGUUAAAGCUCUAUCUUUGAUCCUAGUGCUGCAGGAUUAGGCCAACAUUUAUACUAUUUUUAUUCAAUCAACUUCAAGGAAAAAAUAUAACGUGAACAGUGUGGAUUUCUGAAAUUGGUAAUUGUUCCGAAUCACACUCGGCCUGGCCUUGGGUACAAGAUAACUGCUUGAUCUCCCACGAGCAUGGUCCUGCCGGAGUGUUUGCCUCGCCUGAUACCGGGGCAGCCU